GCCCGAAUGGCUCAGUGGUAAAGCGUCUCACUAGUACCACCUGUCUAAGUCAUUUGACCAGGGCAGCGAACACGACAUGAGAAGAUCGCCAGUUCGAUUCUGGCUUUGGGCA
This 112-nucleotide transfer RNA is filed under the name Colletotrichum tofieldiae. It matches the Rfam family "tRNA". From Rfam's summary of the family: Transfer RNA (tRNA) molecules are approximately 80 nucleotides in length. Their secondary structure includes four short double-helical elements and three loops (D, anti-codon, and T loops). Further hydrogen bonds mediate the characteristic L-shaped molecular structure. tRNAs have two regions of fundamental functional importance: the anti-codon, which is responsible for specific mRNA codon recognition, and the 3' end, to which the tRNAs corresponding amino acid is attached (by aminoacyl-tRNA synthetases). tRNAs cope with the degeneracy of the genetic code in two manners: having more than one tRNA (with a specific anti-codon) for a particular amino acid; and 'wobble' base-pairing, i.e. permitting non-standard base-pairing at the 3rd anti-codon position. The record is from Rfam by way of RNAcentral. Lineage: Eukaryota; Fungi; Ascomycota; Sordariomycetes; Glomerellales; Glomerellaceae.